Molecule: long non-coding RNA, 1752 nt
Organism: Balaenoptera musculus (blue whale)
Lineage: Eukaryota; Metazoa; Chordata; Mammalia; Artiodactyla; Balaenopteridae
Exons: 3
Source: RefSeq, a predicted model, not a curated record
CUAACUUGGCUGUGUUGAUUUUCUCUCAAUAUUUCGACCACUCUGCUUCCUCCUAGGUGGUAUGUGAGAGACAUAAAACUCAUCUCAAGAUGCCUUGGGCCUCAGCAAAUUGGGAGGACAGGCUGAAAACAAUGAUAAGCUUCCAAAAAAAGAGCAGACAGUGCAUCCAGAUGGGGCCUCUCAACAAUCCCUGCUGCCCAACAGCACUGACACCCCGUCUCCAGUCCAUGGGUGUGAAGUCCUGCCCAGGACUAGGCCCAGUGGAGCCUCUUCACAAGUUCCAGGUCACUGGGUCAUGGGGAGACGGGAUCUAAGUGGAGAUGACAGGCCCUGAGGGAAGGACCCAGGUGACUGUGACUGUACAGGUGUCAGGCGGGAUACUUCAGAGUCAGACAAGAUCAGCGAGUCCAAAGAAGGGCAUUUUGGGAAGGACAGACAGAAACAUCAACUGACAAUAUGACUUUACCUGAGAAAGAGCCAUUUCUGACUCCUUUUCUUUUCCCUUCCUCCUCUUCCGGGCUUCUUCCUCAGGCAAGAGUCUUUAGAGGUCGAUCUUGAAACUUGGAAAGAUGCUGUUUAAUGCUUGGAAUCGGCACGCCCCCUUCCUGAGUCACCACCACACACGCAGGGAAGACCUCAGCAUGCGGAACAGACAGUCCCCUGCUGCCCACCGUCCCAGGAGGGGCUCAGGACAGUAAACUCCCACACAGAGACCAACAACCCGAAAGCCAGCCACCACUGCUCCCGACCACUGCUGCACAAUCCCCAGAGCACAGCUGCCUGCACGUCGUGGAGCUGGCGUACUCUAGCAGACCAGAUGGAACGGACAGCUCCUGGCUGAGGCAGGUACGGAACUGUUCUCAGUUAGCAGCAGCAUCAUGGACCGAGGUAGGUGACGUGCUGGGUAUGUGGUGGUAACCCUUGAAAGGAUUGCUGAAGCAAAAGCCCUGCCCCCAGGGAGCUCAGCUCAGAAGGCAGAAAUCAUUACUCAGACAAGAGCCCUACUACUCCCUGAAGGCAAGCGAGUAAAUAUAUACACAGACUCUCGCUAUGCGUUCUCCGUGGUGCAUGCUCACGGCGCAAUCUGGAAAGAAAGGGGGGGGCUCCUCACUUCAAACAAUAAAGACAUAAAACAUGCUUCUGAAAUCUUGUCACUAUUAGAAGCAGUCCACAAGCCCUCACAAGUGGCCGUAAUGCACUGCCCAGGCCACCAGACGGGUGAGACUCAUAUAACAAAAGGCAACUGGUUAGCUGACCAGGCUGCAAAGAAAGUAGCAAAGGUAGGCGAUUACCAAGCCAUCUCAGGGUCACUUCUCCCGCAGAAUGACUUGUCAAAAUACCAGCCGGAAUAUUCAGGCAAGGACAAGGAGAGGGCCAAAGAGUGGGGAUUCACUCUUGAUCGCACCUCGCCUGGCUAGAAAUGUAGUGCACAUGGAACUGACUUGAUUUCUGAGGCACUCGUGGACACCGUGCUGCAGCACAUUAGUAACAGUACCCACCACGGGAGAGAUGCCACCUUACGAUGGAUUCAGAAAUAUAUAAUGGGGCCUAACCUACAAAGGGCCAUCCAGGGAGUCACUCAAAAUUCCAUGAUUUGUGCUGAAAAUAACCCAAAUACUGCUGUCAGAUCUCUCCAGAUGGGGAGCCAACACAGAGGACUCCACGAGCCACCAAGGACUGGCAGAUAGACUUUACUCAAGUUGAUAGGGACAGAGUAAAGGGACAAAGUAGGCGAUUGAAUAGUUAAUCCCA